UACGAAGGGUGCAAGCGUUACUCGGAAUUACUGGGCGUAAAGCGUGCGUAGGUGGUGAGUUAAGUCAGUCGUGAAAGCCCCGGGCUCAACCUGGGAAUGGCGAUGGAUACUGGCUCGCUAGAGUGCGGUAGAGGAGAGUGGAAUUCCCGGUGUAGCAGUGAAAUGCGUAGAGAUCGGGAGGAACAUCAGUUGCGAAGGCGGCUCUCUGGACCAGCACUGACACUGAGGCACGAAAGCGUGGGGAGCAAACAGG
This 253-nucleotide ribosomal RNA is filed under the name uncultured bacterium. RNAcentral describes it as "partial 16S ribosomal RNA". It matches the Rfam family "Bacterial small subunit ribosomal RNA", at positions 524 to 776 of the family's 1533-position model. The record is from RNAcentral.